RNAcentral lists this transfer RNA (76 nucleotides) under Caudoviricetes sp. Its description in RNAcentral is "tRNA-Gln". It matches the Rfam family "tRNA". From Rfam's summary of the family: Transfer RNA (tRNA) molecules are approximately 80 nucleotides in length. Their secondary structure includes four short double-helical elements and three loops (D, anti-codon, and T loops). The record is from RNAcentral. Lineage: Duplodnaviria; Heunggongvirae; Uroviricota; Caudoviricetes.
AGGGCUAUCGCCAAGUGGUAAGGCACAGGAUUUUGGCUCCUGCAUUCCCGGGUUCAAAUCCCGGUAGCCUCGUUUA